This 492-nucleotide ribosomal RNA is filed under the name uncultured bacterium. RNAcentral describes it as "partial 16S ribosomal RNA". It matches the Rfam family "Bacterial small subunit ribosomal RNA", at positions 29 to 507 of the family's 1533-position model. The record is from RNAcentral.
AGUGAACGCUGGCGGUAGGCCUAACACAUGCAAGUCGAACGGCAGCACAGUAAGAGCUUGCUCUUACGGGUGGCGAGUGGCGGACGGGUGAGGAAUACAUCGGAAUCUACCUUUUCGUGGGGGUUAACGUAGGGAAACUUACGCUAAUACCGCAUACGACCUACGGGUGAAAGCAGGGGAUCUUCGGACCUUGCGCGGUUGAAUGAGCCGAUGUCGGAUUAGCUAGUUGGCGGGGUAAAGGCCCACCAAGGCGACGAUCCGUAGCUGGUCUGAGAGGAUGAUCAGCGACACUGGAACUGAGACACGGUCCAGACUCCUACGGGAGGCAGCAGUGGGGAAUAGUGGACAAUGGGCGCAAGCCUGAUCCAGCCAUACCGCGUGGGUGAAGAAGGCCUUCGGGUUGUAAAGACCUUUUGUUGGGAAAGAAAAGCAGCAGGUUAAUACCCCGCUGUUCUGACGGUACCCAAAGAAUAAGCACCGGCUAACUUCGUG